This 353-nucleotide long non-coding RNA is filed under the name Mytilus galloprovincialis (Mediterranean mussel). Lineage: Eukaryota; Metazoa; Mollusca; Bivalvia; Mytilida; Mytilidae. The record is from RNAcentral.
CUUGGCGUGUUUACAUUUAUUUACAUAGGUAAUUAUAGUACUACACAUUUUCCUUAUGAAAGGCGUAUCCGUUAUUUCACUGAUCUCCAAACUAAUUUUAAAUGGAAUAUGAAUACUCAAUAGCAAACACUGAUAUCUAAUUACUUUUUGACAUUAAGAUUAUGAUAUUUUUUUAUAUAGGUUUUGAGAUACAUCGCAAUAUGUGACCCCCCCCCCCCCUUUUUUUUUUUUUUUUUACAAAAAAACACUAAAUAACGCUUAAUAAACAAAAUUUAAAACAUCACAAAAAAGUAUACAGAAGAUUUAUAUUACUAAGAAGUGUGUAAAGUUUGAUGCAAUAAUGAUAAAUGGUU